RNAcentral lists this ribosomal RNA (301 nucleotides) under uncultured bacterium. Its description in RNAcentral is "partial 16S ribosomal RNA". It matches the Rfam family "Bacterial small subunit ribosomal RNA", at positions 509 to 807 of the family's 1533-position model. The record is from RNAcentral.
CAGUAGCCACGGGAAUGCGGAGGGGGCUAGCGUUGUUCGGAAUUACUGGGCGUAAAGCGCACGUAGGCGGCUUGGUAAGUUAGAGGUGAAAGCCUGGAGCUCAACUCCAGAAUUGCCUUUAGGACUGCCGAGCUAGCAGGUGAGAGAGGUAAGUGGAAUUCCGAGUGUAGAGGUGAAAUUCGUAGAUAUUCGGAAGAACACCAGUGGCGAAGGCGGCUUACUGGCUCAUACUGGACGCUGAGGUGCGAAAGCGUGGGGAGCAAACAGGAUUAGAUACCCCUGUAGUCCCUGUCUCUUAUAC